RNAcentral lists this ribosomal RNA (774 nucleotides) under uncultured Neocallimastigales. Its description in RNAcentral is "partial large subunit ribosomal RNA". It matches the Rfam family "Eukaryotic large subunit ribosomal RNA", at positions 26 to 644 of the family's 3401-position model. The record is from RNAcentral. Lineage: Eukaryota; Fungi; Neocallimastigomycota; Neocallimastigomycetes; Neocallimastigales.
CGUCUAUAUACGUAUAGCAUAUCAAUAAGCGGAGGAAAAGAAACUAACAAGGAUUCCCUCAGUAACGGCGAGUGAAGCGGGAAGAGCUCAAAUUUGAAAUCUUCAAGGUUCUACCUUGACGAAUUGUAGUUUAUAGAAGUGUUUUCUGUUAGAUGAGUAGCAAAAGUUCCUUGGAAUGGGACAUCAUAGAGGGUGAGAAUCCCGUAUUUGGUUAUUCAUUCUAGCUUUGUGAUACACUUUCAAAGAGUCGGAUUGUUUGGGAAUGCAGUCCAAAAUGGGUGGUAAAUUUCAUCUAAAGCUAAAUAUUGGCGAGAGACCGAUAGCGAACAAGUACCGUGAGGGAAAGAUGAAAAGAACUUUGAAAAGAGAGUUAAACAGUACGUGAAAUUGUCAAAAGGGAAGCGUUUGACACCAGUGUUGUUUUUCCAAAAAUCAAUUACGAAUGGCUUGAUUUUGUGUUGUAUUGACCUUAUCAGCUUUCUGCACUUUUUUCGAGUCUUUCUUAAUGCACUUUUCGGUUAACAAGUCAACAUCAAUUUCUUUUGUUGUAAAAGAGUACUCGGAAGGUGGCUUUCUUUUCGGAGAAAGUGUUUAUAGCCCUAUACUUCUACAAUCGGAGAGAUUGAGGUCUGCAGCGUAGAUCCUUCGGGGUUAGAUACACUUGUGCUAAGUUGUAGCUUUUCAUAGACAACUUGUUGACUAUGUUUAGUCAUGCGGCUUACUCGCUUGUGCUAUUUUACCUACGCUUAGGAUGUUGACUGAUAUGUAGUCGUA